This 1795-nucleotide long non-coding RNA is filed under the name Cricetulus griseus (Chinese hamster). RNAcentral's name for it is "lncRNA (ENSCGRG00000024702.1)". Lineage: Eukaryota; Metazoa; Chordata; Mammalia; Rodentia; Cricetidae. The record is from RNAcentral.
GAGGCAGAUGGACACCCAGGUGGGUGGAGCCGGGGAGGAAGGGGCACACCCCCCUGGAAAGAGCGCGGGAAAGGGGCUGGAAAGGAAGGAGUGGCGGGCACAGAGUGGGUGGGGCGUGGGGGCGGGGUUAGGCGGGGCCGGGGGGGGGGGGGGCCGGGGGUGCCCGCGGGGCCCGCCCCCCCCCGGCCCCGGNNNNNNNNNNNNNNNNNNNNNNNNNNNNNNNNNNNNNNNNNNNNNNNNNNNNNNNNNNNNNNNNNNNNNNNNNNNNGUGGUGUGGGGGUAGGCGGGGCCGGGGCGGAGUGUGCCCGGGGCUCCUCUCUUGCCACCCCCACCCCCGGCCCGGGGCCACCUGCGCCCCGCCCUACCGGCCGCACCCCAGCUGGGGAACCGCGGAGCUGGGUGUCCGGGAUUCGUGUGCGCAAGGGGGAUCAUCGCGAGUUCUGCUUCUGCCUGGACGGCUGUCCUGAACCCGGAAAUGUGGCUUCGCUGAGAGCCCUCCGGACUGAGCGGGUCUGCGGCGCAAACUCACGGGUGGGAAGUUGGUCUGCACUCCGGCAACAUGACCAGCCCGGCGGGAGCAAAAAACCAGGAAAUCGACUGUCUGAGUCCAGAAGCGCAAAGACUGUAAAUGUCCCUGGCUCGUAGGAGCAAGGCUCUCCUGUGGACAAGGCCUGGGUUAAAUGGUUGUGAGAAGACAAGGUGAGCAAGAGGAAGCAGACAGACAUGUGACCUCCUCAGACCAGAGCUAAGACAAACGGCAAGAUUGGAGCAGAAUGUGUGGUGCAGGCCUGGGUGCCUGCAAUGCUGGCACUCAGAGGCUGGGUCUGGCCAGCCUGGGCAUAGCCAGACCCUGUUUCAAAACAAAUAGAAAACUCUAAAUUCGGAGGAUAUAACUCAGUGGUAGAGUGCUUGUUUGUGUUCAAGACCUCAGCGCCACAAACAAGGAAAAAAGGAGACUAGGAGGGGAGAGAGCAGUGUUGAGGGUGCCGGGUAGGUCGGCUGGUGAAUAGUCUGAGUCUCCACAUCCACAGUGGAAACUGACAUUCUUUUUCUUUGUUUCUUAUUUUAAUGUAUGGGUGCUUUGGCUGCAUGGAUGUCUAUGCUCCCCUGGCCUGCCUGGUUCCAAAAGAAGGCUUCAGAUCCCCUGAACUGGAGUGACAGUUGUUAGCCACCAUGUAGGUGCUGGAAAUCAAAACCAGGUCCUCUGGAAGAGCAGCCAGUGCUCUUAACCACUAAACCAUCUCUCCAGCCCCAAACAGCCAUUCUUUAAACUUUCAUAACUUCUCUGCGUUGCUGAGGUUGUGUCCACUCUGGCCUCUUUCCACACAGUGACGAGCACUGACCCUGAAAGGAGCCAGUCCAUACCAGGGCAGGGAUCUGAUAGAAGGGUAGAAGUUAGCCCUGCCACGCAUGUGCAACUCAUGGCCCACAGGCUGCAAAGCAAGCAGGCUGUCUAUGAAGGCAAGGCAGCCCUCCACAAAAAAGCAUAAGCUUACUUAAAGCACUGUGAGAUGUUUGUUUUAUAACUCAGUUUGUAACUCAAACAUGAACUUUGUGGAUGACGUUGUGUCCCAAUAGAGCCUGUGUCUCAACCCCCAGGUUUAUGAACUGGGGUAUGGACUGUCAUUUUUAAUGUGUUGUUUCCCCAAGUUGUUAAGAUAACAAUGGUAAGUUCUUUUGAAUUGUAGCUCUGAAGCCAUUUGCUUUGAUUUUUAGCCUGACUUAUUUUAUUACUCUGUGUGUGUGUGUGUGUGUGUGUGUGUGUGUGUGUGUAUAAUUGGACAUAUGCACACUA